ACUGCUUAGCCUACUCCAGCUGGCCCCACCUCACCUCAUCGGCCCCGCCUCCUCCGCUCGCCCACUCCGGGCGCCCACUCCUGAGGAGCUAUCCCAGAGUCCGCGCGGCCUCGCCUUCCCGGCCCGCUCACCACCCCGCCUCGUCCCACCUCGCCUCGCCCUCCCCGGGCUCUAGCCACUUGGUGCGGCAGGUGUCCUGCAGGCCGGCUCGAGAUUCCCGAGCUCGCCCUCGUGGUGUUCCAGGAACACGAGUCUCGCUCGGGCACCAGGCUGGAGUGCAGUGGCACGGUCUCGGCUUACUACAACCUCCGCCUUCCGGAUUCAAGUGAUUCUGCUGCCUCAGCCUCCCGAAUAGCUGGGAUUACAGUGUUUCAGAAUCACCUGGGAUGAUCUGCAUGAAGAUUCCUGGCCUCCACCAAAGACUUACUGAAUCAGAAAGGAGGCAAGAGGAUGAGGAAUGCUUAAGAAUCUGCAUUAACAAACUUUACAAAUGAAUCUUACAACAUACAGAAGCAUGGAAACUACUGCCUCAAGGGAUUAUCUCAACUUGAGUUUAAACAUAGGAAUUGCUGACUACCUUUAAAAUGUAAAAAUAGUAUCUUUAUGGGAGGGAUGUUGUUUGGGGGCAGCUACUAAAUAGUGAAAUCAUUCCUUUAAAAUACCCUCUCAAGUCUGCCCCAGUUAUCCAUUUUACUGGAUAGUCUUGGUAUCCAGAUGAUUUAGGGAAAAAAAUAGUAGUAGCA
Long non-coding RNA from Homo sapiens (human), 743 nucleotides. RefSeq annotates it as UBR5 divergent transcript. The record is from RefSeq and is marked validated. The transcript has 3 exons. Lineage: Eukaryota; Metazoa; Chordata; Mammalia; Primates; Hominidae.